Non-coding RNA from Bradysia coprophila, 73 nucleotides. The record is from the annotation of a RefSeq genome assembly. Lineage: Eukaryota; Metazoa; Arthropoda; Insecta; Diptera; Sciaridae.
CUCCUGGUAGCUCAAUUGGGAGAGCGGUGGGUUGAAGACCCAUAGGUUGUCGGUUCAAAUCCGAUCCGGGAGA